GACGAACGCUGGCGGCGUGCUUAACACAUGCAAGUCGAACGGAAAGGCCCUGCUUUUGUGGGGUGCUCGAGUGGCGAACGGGUGAGUAACACGUGAGUAACCUGCCCUUGACCUUGGGAUAACUUCAGGAAACUGGGGCUAAUACCGGAUAGGAGCUCCUGCUGCAUGGUGGGGGUUGGAAAGUUUCGGCGGUUGGGGAUGGACUCGCGGCUUAUCAGCUUGUUGGUGGGGUAGUGGCUUACCAAGGCUUUGACGGGUAGCCGGCCUGAGGGGGUGACCGGCCACAUUGGGACUGAGAUACGGCCCAGACUCCUACGGGAGGCAGCAGUGGGGAAUAUUGCACAAUGGGCGGAAGCCUGAUGCAGCAACGCCGCGUGCGGGAUGACGGCCUUCGGGUUGUAAACCGCUUUCGCCUGUGACGAAGCGUGAGUGACGGUAAUGGGUAAAGAAGCACCGGCUAACUACGUG
RNAcentral lists this ribosomal RNA (468 nucleotides) under uncultured bacterium. RNAcentral's name for it is "partial 16S ribosomal RNA". It matches the Rfam family "Bacterial small subunit ribosomal RNA", at positions 28 to 507 of the family's 1533-position model. The record is from RNAcentral.